CCAAUAGCGUAUAUUAAAGUUGUUGCAGUUAAAAAGCUCGUAGUUGAAUUUUGGGUCUGGCCGGGCGGUCCACCUUCCGGUGAGCACUGUUCCGACGCCGGGCCUAUCCUUCUGGUGAGACGGCAUGCCCUUCGCUGGGUGUGUCGGGGAACCAGGACCAUUACCUUGAAAAAAUUAGAGUGUUCAAAGCAGGCAUUUGCUCGAAUACAUUAGCAUGGAAUAAUGAAAUAGGACGCGUGGUACUAUUUUUUUGGUUUCUAGGACCGCCGUAAUGAUUAAUAGGGAUAGUUGGGGGCAUUAGUAUUCAAUUGUCAGAGGUGAAAUUCUUGGAUUUAUUGAAGACUAACUUCUGCGAAAGCAUUUGCCAAGGAUGUUUUCAUUAAUCAAGAACGAAAGUUAGGGGAUCGAAGACGAUCAGAUACCGUCGUAGUCUUAACCAUAAACUAUGCCGACUAGGAAUCGGGCGAUGUUAUUUUAACGACUCGCCCGGCGCCUUAUG
Molecule: ribosomal RNA, 499 nt
Filed under: uncultured Glomeromycotina
Lineage: Eukaryota; Fungi; Glomeromycota
Description: partial small subunit ribosomal RNA
Rfam family: Eukaryotic small subunit ribosomal RNA
Source: RNAcentral